Molecule: ribosomal RNA, 442 nt
Filed under: uncultured bacterium
Lineage: Bacteria
Description: bacterial SSU rRNA
Rfam family: Bacterial small subunit ribosomal RNA
Source: RNAcentral
AGCGAACGCUGGCGGCAGGCUUAACACAUGCAAGUCGAGCGGGCGUAGCAAUACGUCAGCGGCAGACGGGUGAGUAACGCGUGGGAACAUACCUUUUGUUCGGAACAACACAGGGAAACUUGUGCUAAUACCGGAUAAGCCCUUACGGGGAAAGNUUUAUCGCCGAAAGAUUGGCCCGCGUCUGAUUAGCUAGUUGGUGAGGUAACGGCUCACCAAGGCGACGAUCAGUAGCUGGUCGAGAGGAUGAUCAGCCACAUUGGGACUGAGACACGGCCCAAACUCCUACGGGAGGCAGCAGUGGGGAAUAUUGGACAAUGGGCGAAAGCCUGAUCCAGCCAUGCCGCGUGAGUGAUGAAGCCCUAGGGUUNUAAAGCUCUUUUGUGCGGGAAGAUAAUGACGGUACCGCAAGAAUAGCCCCGCUAACUUCGUGCCAGCAGCCGCU